GGACCUGACCGCUAUCGGAUUGAUACUAAGCCAUGCGAGUCAUUGUAGCAAUACAAGGCAUACGGCUCAGUAACGCGUAGUCAACCUAACCUAUGGACGGGAAUAACCUCGGGAAACUGAGAAUAAUGCCCGAUAGAACAUUAUGCCUGGAAUGGUUUAUGUUCCAAAUGAUUUAUCGCCGUAGGAUGGGACUGCGGCCUAUCAGUUUGUUGGUGAGGUAAUGGCCCACCAAGACUAUUACAGGUACGGGCUCUGAGAGGAGUAGCCCGGAGAUGGGUACUGAGACACGGACCCAGGCCCUAUGGGGCGCAGCAGGCGAGAAAACUUUGCAAUGUGCGAAAGCACGACAAGGUUAAUCCGAGUGGUUUCUGCUAAAGAAACCUUUUGUCAGUCCUAGAAACACUGAUGAAUAAGGGGUGGGCAAGUUCUGGUGU
Molecule: ribosomal RNA, 434 nt
Filed under: uncultured archaeon
Lineage: Archaea
Description: bacterial SSU rRNA
Rfam family: Archaeal small subunit ribosomal RNA
Source: RNAcentral